Long non-coding RNA from Anguilla anguilla (European eel), 316 nucleotides. RefSeq lists it as uncharacterized. Lineage: Eukaryota; Metazoa; Chordata; Actinopteri; Anguilliformes; Anguillidae. The transcript is spliced from 3 exons. The record is from RefSeq and is a predicted model, not a curated record.
AGUCUGCAAACAAGAAACGAAGGACAACUUCCAAACUUCGUUAGACAUCGGUCUGCGUAUUUAGAGGUACAGCGUCCUCUUUCACCAGUCUGCAGCCCGUUUGGACCUUGGAAACGAGCCGUGGGGGCUGUUUGGCAGACCGGGUGGUCAGACGGAUCGCUUAAUUAGUGAAAUGGACCGAAAAACCAGCAGGCACUGUGGGGCUCCAGGAUCAAACGCAUCAUUCCCGUCGUGCGUUUACGAGCAGCGCGGACCGCAGCGAUGACAUUUUGGGACCUGGGACCACGCUUUCCCCGCCUGCCUACUUCUGAAGCUG